This 107-nucleotide small nuclear RNA is filed under the name Vicugna pacos (alpaca). Lineage: Eukaryota; Metazoa; Chordata; Mammalia; Artiodactyla; Camelidae. The record is from RNAcentral.
GUAAUACUUUGGUAAUACCUAUGAUAAGAUUGGAAUGAUAUAGAUAAGAUUAGCAUGGCCCCUGCACAAAGGACGACACACAAAUUUGUGAAGCAUUCCAUAUUCUU